GGUUGUGGCUCAGUGGUAGAGCGCUUGUCCAGGAUGCAUGAGGCACUGGGUUCAAUUUCUGGCACCG
This 67-nucleotide transfer RNA is filed under the name Marmota monax (woodchuck). Its description in RNAcentral is "tRNA.Pro". The record is from RNAcentral. Lineage: Eukaryota; Metazoa; Chordata; Mammalia; Rodentia; Sciuridae.